AUUGAACGCUGGCGGCAUGCCUUACACAUGCAAGUCGAACGGUAACAGGUUAAGCUGACGAGUGGCGAACGGGUGAGUAAUGUAUUGGAACGUGCCCAGUCGUGGGGGAUAACUGCUCGAAAGAGCAGCUAAUACCGCAUACGACCUGAGGGUGAAAGCGGGGGAUCGCAAGACCUCGCGCGAUUGGAGCGGCCGAUAUCAGAUUAGGUAGUUGGUGAGGUAAAGGCUCACCAAGCCGACGAUCUGUAGCUGGUUUGAGAGGACGACCAGCCACCCUGGGACUGAGACACGGCCCAGACUCCUACGGGAGGCAGCAGUGGGGAAUUUUGGACAAUGGGCGCAAGCCUGAUCCAGCCAUGCCGCGUGCGGGAAGAAGGCCUUCGGGUUGUAAACCGCUUUUGUCAGGGAAGAAAAGGUUCUGGCUAAUACCUGGGACUCAUGACUGUAAGGGGAGAAUAAGCACCGGCUAACUACGUGCCAGCA
This 483-nucleotide ribosomal RNA is filed under the name uncultured bacterium. Its description in RNAcentral is "bacterial SSU rRNA". It matches the Rfam family "Bacterial small subunit ribosomal RNA", at positions 30 to 513 of the family's 1533-position model. The record is from RNAcentral.